AGUGAACGCUGGCGGUAGGCCUAACACAUGCAAGUCGAACGGCAGCACAGUAAGAGCUUGCUCUUACGGGUGGCGAGUGGCGGACGGGUGAGGAAUACAUCGGAAUCUACUUUUUCGUGGGGGAUAACGUAGGGAAACUUACGCUAAUACCGCAUACGACCUACGGGUGAAAGCAGGGGAUCUUCGGACCUUGCGCGAUUGAAUGAGCCGAUGUCGGGUUAGCUAGUUGGAGGGGUAAAGGCCCAACAAGUCGACGAUCCGUAGCUGGUCUGAGAGGAUGAUCAGCCACACUGAGACUGAGACACGGUCCAGACGCCUACGGGGGACAGCAAUGGGGAAUAUUGGACAAUGGGGGGAAACGUGAUCCAGCCAUACCGCGUGGGUGAGAAAGGUCUUCGGGUUGUAAAACCCUUUUGUAGGGAAAGAAAAGCAGCAGGUUAAUACCCCGCUGUUCUGACGGUACCCAAGGAAAAAGCACCGGCUAACUUCGUG
RNAcentral lists this ribosomal RNA (492 nucleotides) under uncultured bacterium. RNAcentral describes it as "partial 16S ribosomal RNA". It matches the Rfam family "Bacterial small subunit ribosomal RNA", at positions 29 to 507 of the family's 1533-position model. The record is from RNAcentral.